RNAcentral lists this ribosomal RNA (468 nucleotides) under uncultured bacterium. RNAcentral describes it as "partial 16S ribosomal RNA". It matches the Rfam family "Bacterial small subunit ribosomal RNA", at positions 28 to 507 of the family's 1533-position model. The record is from RNAcentral.
GACGAACGCUGGCGGCGUGCUUAACACAUGCAAGUCGAACGGAAAGGCCCUGCUUUUGUGGGGUUCUCGAGUGGCGAACGGGUGAGUAGCACGUGUGUAACCUGCCCUUGACUUUGGGAUAACUUCAGGAAACUGGGGCUAAUACCGGAUAGGAGCUCCUGCUGCAUGGUGGGGGUUGGAACGUUUCGGCGGUUGGGGAUGGACUCGCGGCUUAUCGGCUUGUUGGUGGGGUAGUGGCUUACCAAGGCUUUGACGGGUAGCCGGCCUGAGAGGGUGACCGGCCACAUUGGGACUGAGGGACGGCCCAGACUGCUACGGGAGGCAGCAGUGGGGAAUAUUGCACAAUGGGCGGAAGCCUGAUGCAGCAACGCCGCGUGCGGGAUAACGGCCUUCGGGUUGUAAACCGCUUUCGCCUGAGACGAAGCGUGAGUGACGGUAAUGGGUAAAGAAGCACCGGCUAACUACGUG